Molecule: ribosomal RNA, 999 nt
Filed under: uncultured bacterium
Lineage: Bacteria
Description: bacterial SSU rRNA
Rfam family: Bacterial small subunit ribosomal RNA
Source: RNAcentral
UGGGGAAUAUUGCACAAUGGGGGGAACCCUGAUGCAGCGACGCCGCGUGAAGGAAGAAGGUAUUCGUAUUGUAAACUUCUGUCGCAGAUGACGAAGAUAGUGACGGUAAUCUGUAAGAAAGCACCGGCUAACUACGUGCCAGCAGCCGCGGUAAAACGUAGGGUGCUAGCGUUGUCCGGAAUUACUGGGUGUAAAGGGAGCGCAGGUGGCAGUGCAAGUUGGAUGUAAAAUCUACGGGCUCAACCCGUAUAAGCAUUCAAAACUGUGCAGCUUGAGUGAAGUAGAGGUAGGUGGAAUUUCCGGUGUAGCGGUGGAAUGCGUAGAUAUCGGAAGGAACAUCAGUGGCGAAGGCGACUCACUGGGCUUUAACUGACGCUGAGGCUCGAAAGCAUGGGUAGCAAACAGGAUUAGAUACCCUGGUAGUCCAUGCUGUAAACGAUGAUUACUAGGUGUGGGGGCGAAAGCUUCCGUGCCGGAGUUAACACAAUAAGUAAUCCACCUGGGGAGUACGACCGCAAGGUUGAAACUCAAAGGAAUUGACGGGGGCCCGCACAAGCAGUGGAGUAUGUGGUUUAAUUCGAAGCAACGCGAAGAACCUUACCAGGUCUUGACAUCGUGCGCAUAGGCAAGAGAUUGCUGAAAUCACUCUUUGAGUGACGUAUAGACAGGUGGUGCAUGGUUGUCGUCAGCUCGUGUCGUGAGAUGUUGGGUUAAGUCCCGCAACGAGCGCAACCCUUAUCAUUAGUUACUACGAAAGAGGACUCUAAUGAGACUGCCGUUGAGAAAACGGAGGAAGGUGGGGAUGACGUCAAAUCAUCAUGCCCCUUAUGACCUGGGCUACACACGUACUACAAUGGCUGUCAACAAAGUGAACCAAAUACGCGAGUAAGAGGGAAACACAAAAAACAGUCACAGUUCGGAUUGUAGGCUGCAACUCGCCUACAUGAAGCCGGAAUUGCUAGUAAUCGCGGAUCAGCAUGCCGCGGUGAAUAUGUUCCC